AAUAUUGGACAAUGGGCGAAAGCCUGAUCCAGCCAUGCCGCGUGUGUGAAGAAGGUCUUCGGAUUGUGAAGCACUUUAAGUUGGGAGGAAGAGUUGUAGGCUAAUACCUUGCACUUUUCACGUUACCAACCGAAUAAGCACCCGCUAACUUCUUGCCAGCAGGCGCGGUAAUACGAAGGGUGCAAUCGUUAAUCGGAAUUACUGGGCGUAAAGCGCGCGUAGGUGGUUCGUUAAGUUGGAAGUGAAAGCCCAGGGCUUAACCUGGGAAUUGCUUUCAAAACUGACGAGCUAGAGUACGGUAGAGGGUAGUGGAAUUUCCUGUGUAGCGGUGAAAUGCGUAGAUAUAGGAAGGAACAUCAGUGGCGAAGGCGACUACCUGGACUGAUACUGACACUGAGGUGCGAAAGCGUGGGGAGCAAACAGG
Molecule: ribosomal RNA, 424 nt
Filed under: uncultured bacterium
Lineage: Bacteria
Description: partial 16S ribosomal RNA
Rfam family: Bacterial small subunit ribosomal RNA
Source: RNAcentral